CUGGUCCCAGACCUGCUCACAGUUCAUCUUCUCUCUUGACAGAGCUAACAACACUCCAGCAAGGCUACUCCUCUCCACAGCUGCCCAGAAUUAGGCUUCCUCUGUAUCCCAGUCUUCCCUUCCACAGAUUAGCAUGUUGUUAUCCACCACAGAUCAAGACAUGUUUCUGUCAAAGGACUCCAUAAUCCAUUCCUACAGAAAACCAUGCAUCAAGUUCGCAGGAUGAGGUUCUGAUAGAUGAAGCACUCACUUACAUGGUGACAAGUAGAAAUGGUUAUAUAAAAUGAAAUAUCAUUUAAGCAAGUGAGUAAUCCAAUCCAUUUUAAACACAGUCCUUAAUGGGGAGGAUGGGGGGCACCUUAAAUGUAAGCAGAUGAAUAAUCCAAUCCCUGUUGUGCUGGCAAUACGUAUAUUUAAACACAUUAUUUUAAGUGUCUAGGAGGCCAACAAAACCAACUUUCCAUACUAUUUAUGCCUACUGUACCCAGCCAGCUUGCAGGGCAUCAUCAAAAACUACUCUGCUGACAUCAGUAGUGUUUGGUUUUGGCCCCUUAUACAAUUUAACACUGACAAUCGUAGAGUGAAAGUGAGUUUAGCAUCAAAUUUAUUCUUGAUUGGAAAACAUGCACAACAAAUGUAAUUACUGCACAAGAAAAAGUAUGCCUGAGAUGGACUCCAUAGAGAGGAUGUGGUCACAAGGGCUCUCUUGAGCAAGAACACUGUGGUGCCCAGCUUUAUAAGCUGUUUUGGCACAUGCCCUUGACACCUCAUGCUGAAACACAGCUCCUGCCCUCUGAGAUCAUUCUCCUCCACCAGGACAAAUCCCAGGGCCUACCUGCUGCCUGCUAUCCAGAGAAAAAGGCAUAGUUCAGGAUCCUGCAACACAGGAACAGCAAACCUGCUAGUUUGCAGCACCAACCAUUUCUCCAUUUCACUGAAACUCCUAAAUUACCACAAUAUAAUAUACGCCUUUCUCUUUUAAGUCCUGAAACUUCAUUUUGCCCUGCUUUGAUACGUCACCCUUCUCUACGCAUUACUGGGAUGCCCUGGAUCUGCAGCGCACCUCACUGUAGGGAUUCCACCCGUGUUCACACACGUCCUUCCACCAGCAAAGCCUCAGUGUCACAUCAAGAGGCACAGACUCCCUGCUGUGCAGACCUCUUGUUAUCAAGAGAUUGUUGAAAAAACACAGCGCAGUUGCAAGGACUUAUCCCUGGAUGUAAAUAUGUUUCAAAUUAAAGCAGAACUAGAAAUGACUGCAACAUAAAGAAAGCUCUGCUGACUGGAAAAUCUGGUAAACUCAUGUCUUUUCCAGAUAUAUCUAUCGCAUCGUAUUUUUAAAUGACCGGUUUUGUGUUUUUCAGCUGCACAGUCUCCAGUUUGUGUUCCCGGCUGUAAGUAUAAUAGGAUUUUUUUUUAAGUCUUCAGCUUCAGGCAUUUUUUUUUCUCCUUUUCUUCCUUACAUCUCCCUCGCUAGCAUUAGAAUGACUAUACUUCCUUAACACUAUCUGCUACUUUUUAAUCUUGAAUUCAUAACUUCCGAUAGCCUGGAUAUGGUUUCUCUUAGAGAGAGCGCCUUAGAAAAAUUAUGUGUAAAUACUGCAGCGCUGACUGGGGUUUCACGUCUCUGUAUUUAUGCCUUGUAUAUACUCUCGGCUCCCGAUCUGCUUGCUUGCCAGCGUGAUUGAUUGGCUGUGUACUGAGGGAUGUUUAUAACAGCGGGCAGGUACUGUACGCGAACACGGACGCCAACACCCGAGGGCACGGAGCGGAGCGCUGCUGCCGCGUUCCUGCGGCUCCGAGGCCGCAUCACCGGCACCGAUCCCGUGCUUCAUCGGUGGGGAGGUUUUCCAUUCCUCCUCCGCAGCAAACGGAACCAGCCCAGAGCAGACAGCGGCCGGCGGCGGCGGGGGUGGGAGAGAAGAUCAGUAAUAACAACAACCGACAACGUAUGGCAGUAUUUUAUUUAUUGUAAAGCCUCUGACCGAGGCGAGCCCCGCCCCGCCGGCUCCACCUGCCCGGGCACGGGGCCGGGAGGAGCCGCGCCGCCACCCCGGGGCUUCUCCACGUGGGUCCCAUUAGCGUCAUUUGCUCUCGGCGGGGGGGGGUGGGGGAGGGGGGGAUUAAAGCGAUUAGAAUGAAAAUAAUUAAAUGAGCUUCCAAUUGCCCGGCCUGACUCCUUGCACUGGGGAGGGGGGACUAACUGUCACCGCGGGAGCGUUUGGGAUUAUUAUUAAUAUUUAUUUUGUUUUUCGAAUCCUUUGUCUUUAAAGGAAAGGAAACAAAAGUGGGAGAAGGGAGAGAGAAGGAAAAAAAAAAAAACAACGUUGCAACUGUCACCGUUUUGCAAGCGUCAGAUUAGCGCUUUGUCAUAACGUGACCACACUGUUUCCGAUAGGUUUUCCAACCCGUAAUCGUUUGUAACGUCUCAGCUUUGAAUCGGGAAAGCAAAAUAAAAAGCAAAAACACUCUGAUGCUUUGGGUUUAAAAUGCUUUCUAGAGUGGGGAAAGUGGAGGUUUCUAUUUUCUUGCGGCAGUGAGAAGCGAAAUAGCCGCGUUUUACCACUUGGAAUAACGCCAUAAUCUUGACGAAGGGAUUCAAACAUUUAAAGAUAACAGAUGCGCUGUAGCCCGACGGAGCGGUGCCCGCCUCGUCACGCUCUUCCCUUUCUCAAGGUCAGCUCUGAGCAAGCGGUAGCUCCGCUCGUACGCGUCGCGCAGCGCACACUGCACCGCGGUGGCAGACACGGAGCUAAUCCAAUCCUUACCUCAGUUUUCAACGUUUUCUUUUGCAUCGAUAAAAUCGAACCGCUUUAGAACCGUAUCCACGGCAACAACGCACAGGCUGAGCUAGCGGCAAGCACCUUGCCUCUCUGCUGCUUUACUCUUGAAAGGAACGUUCGAAUUAAGCGGUGAUAACGCCAAGGGGCCCACUUCGGGAAAUUCACGGGGUCGGUUCUCAGCAGCAUACCGAAGGGAGAAAGAAAAAAAAAAAAAAAGGAAGGAAAGAAGAACGGAGGACGGAAGGAAGAGAGCCGCCGUUUGGGGCGGCCCUGGCUCCGCUCCUCUCGUCACCGUGACCCCAACCCACCCCUCGGCAAAGCUCCCAGCCGUCAUGCCUCAUCUACACGAAGGCACAGCUCCAGAGCGGGGAAUUCCAUUUCCUAAUUAAAAUCUCGUCAGAAGAACUCAGGGAUCUGCGCUUCUGUACUCCCCGGGCGUGCGAACACCGCAGCAAAAUCAAUGAGGCUGUAUUGCGCGGCUUUGGGCGUACUCUCUGCGCCUACUUCGACUCAAAGGGUCCUUCUGAAGCUGAAAAUUUGCCCUGAGGCGCUGUUAUUUCUCAAAUCUUUCAGGGUGAAAUUAACGUACAGACGUUUCUUUGAUAUGGCGGGGAGGGAAAAUCUCGCGUGUUGUCAGAAGUUAAUUUUCAGCUACUAGAGGAGUUCUUGACUUGAAAUAUUUUACUUUCCUCUGUAAAAGUUACUGGUUUGCUUUCCGUGGUCGUUCGGCGGGCCGAAGCCCCCACGCCAGCAUUCAGCAACGAGCACGGCCCCGUCCAGCAAAAGGUGGUGCGACCCUUCCCGCCCCUUCGUGCCAAACCCUUGCCUUUCUCAUUACCCGUAAAACGUUUACAGCCUCUCGGCCGAAGGCGUUUGUCGGGAGCGCGCCUUUACGAGUAGUGCCGCAGCGGCAUUCCGCCUAACGCCUCCCUUCCUGAUCCUAUUACCGGCCCUGGUUCGCCGCUUACGGGCAGUAAAAGUCCCAUUCGGGAAGCGGGCAGAGAGCCGCGCAGGUGCCGGCUGCGUGCAUUAAUAAUAAUUGUCCUGAAUUGUUCUUCAAGGAAAAUAGCGAUUCCUCCCACCCUCCCCCCCGCCGCUCUCCGAGCCCCUCCGUUCCUCACCCCGCAGGAUGGAGGGGAAGGGGAGCAGCGUCCGCUGGAAGAAGCUCUUCGCGUUUCCUUUCUCCUCCGGCUGUGGGACUCGCACGCAGCUCCGCGCCCUUUAGCAAACACCGAGGGGAAGUGGGGGAAAAAAAUGCUAUUGACCGAAACGAGUGUACCUUUGGUGGCCGGGAGCGAUGCUGCUGCUCUCCCUUAUUUCGGGACUGAUGCACCUCGGGGAUCCCGGGCUCCUCCGGUAGCGCUCCUCAGCCACCUACAACGGCACGAAGUUGGGUGUAAGGCACAGCAGCCGGACGCACACACACACGUUUUUGGCUGCUGGGGGAGGCCCGCAACCCACUGAUGCCAGGCAGCUUCCCCCCGCCCCUGGGCGCACUCACCACAUCUCUGCCCCCAGACCGCGGGGAAACCCUCGCCCUCCAACAAUUCCCUUCCUUCCCUUCUCUCUCCUUUUUUCUUUUUCCUUUUUUUUUUUGUUCCCCCUACCUUUCCUGAGGGCUGUACUGCGGCCGGGCACGUCCUGCCCCCGACGCGCUGCCAAGCAGCCGCCCACCCCCACCCGAGACUCUCCGGCCGUCCGUCGGCGCGGUGUCCUGGAAGGCCGGGCAGGGGGGGGACCCGGAGAGCCUCGGCCCUGCCGAGCAGGGGGGUCUCACUCGGUCAACCCCCCCCUUCCCCCCCAGGACAAUGGGCGCCCCGACAGCUCGCCCUGAGCCGGCCCCACAGCACCGCGGAGAGCCGUCGGCCCGCUUUAAGAGCCGGGCGGGACGGAGUCCUCCUGACACGGGCGUUUGAUUUAAAGACGUCUCCCGAGAAACGCAAAUAAAUAACUUCUCGAGGAGAAAAUGAACCCGAGCCCAAAGCUGACAGGGGCUGCAAACGCUAAAGAUGUGUACGGACGGGAGAAAGAGCAAAAGUAAAUAAAUCUUGGUUACCUAAUUGAAAGGCAGAAGCGAGCCCUUUGUGUACACAGCGCUUCAGGAAGAAGAAAACCAGAGCUCGGGGGACGCGAGGAGCGCGGCGCCCGCCCGGGGCUGCUCUGUGCCGUCGGGGAGGCUCCUUCGGCGGCGGGAGGUUGACCCCCGUCAGCUGAGGGCGGCCUCCCUCACCCCCAGAAAACGGAGUAAAAAAGGAGCUAUAGGAAGAGCCCAGGAGCUUCCGUGGCUGCGGAGCUAUUCUCCUGGGAGAGUACAGAGGGGCACUUCUCCCCCGAAACGAGAGCGAAGGGACGUGAGGGGAAGCUGGAAAGGUGCGAAGGUUCCUCAAAUCGGUUAUAGCGUUAUCAUCUGGAAGAAUCUCCGAAGCCGUCCAAUUCUGAGCAAGUAUGACAAAGGAUCGACAACGAAUGUCUGGAGAGGACUGCUCGGUGUCUCUCGCGAUCACUGGCAAGUUCUUCUCCCUGGCUGUGUAAUCAUUCCCAGCACCUUCAAAGACGUGCAGGCUGACACAUACCGCCAACCCUUUGUGCUGGUACUGUGAAGCAACGGCACGCCAGUGCUAAGAACUCAGCUUCUUGCACUCCGGUGUGGGAGAGCAGUACUGAGGGAUGCCCUGGACACACUCUUUCACUUCCUAUAACCCUCACAGUAAUUAAUAACAACUACGAUUAACCGCUUCAAUUUAAUAUCAUACAGUAUUCUCCACUCCCUUCCGUUUUGCUGUGCCAAUCGCAUGAAAACUUCCUGAUGAGCUCCAAGUAACCCCUCUCCAGGACGUCAAGGACAGCUUCACCUACCAGCCCUAAACCCAUAUGCAGCAAUCUCACCUCGUCACGUCAGCCUCCCUCUGGACAUUGUUUCCAGCAGCAGUUGCAGCAAAGCCAGCAGGCUGCCACCUCCACAAGCAGAGCGCUCAGCUCUGCUCAGCUGUCUCCGUUACAGACAAAAUCAGUUUGUUAAUGCUGAAUUGAUGUGCAGAUCUCCAUACCUCUAACAACAAAAAGGAGUGGUUGUUCUGAUACCUCUCCUGUCGACAUCUAUGCAUUGUGGCUGCAAGUUGGAAGCGCCUUUGGAAUUGUUGUGUAAUAUUCUUGAUAUGCAGGUGCACAACUGGGUGUACCAGGAAUGGAGAUGUUGAAAAGAGCCUCUUCAGUGUCAUUAACACCAUCUGGUGUAGUGCACUCCUAAAACAGUGCAGUUCUGGGAGAGACGCCACUUCCUUCUACUGUCAUGAUUUCCUGACAUCUCAGUUUUCCAACUAUGGGAAAUGAUGUUUUGAAAAAGCAGUUUUGACACAUGAAUACAAAACUAAUAAUAAUAAUAAAACUUAAAUCUUAUUAACUUUUAAUAAGAUGUAACCAUUCACAAGGCAUGGAAGAGGAGCUGCUACAAGUUACGUGGUUCAAAAAUCUCAAAACAAACCCAAAUCUUUGCACCUAAAUUCUCAGAUUCCUGCUUUUUUAAAAGAAAGCUGUUACCAAAAGUGGAACACAAGUAGGCUGAUGAACGCAGUCCUGUCACACUAGACCAUGAGGGAAGGUGGGGGAUAUGAGCUGGUCUGCAGUCAGCACAGCUGCUCCAGUUGCCCAAGCUGAGCACCCUGCCCAGCACUGCUGAGCCCAGCUGUGAAUGAGCACAGCCUGUUGCUUGGGCAGCACUUCUUAGUUUGGCUACCUUGCAAAUGUGGGCUAGGCUGUUUUUAGGAAGUCUCUGUGUUCCUGUCGGGAGUAGAAUGAAAAGGCAGUAACGCACACACAUUUGCACAGUUGUAUGUUGAGCUUUAGUGUAUUUAUCAUCUUCUUUAAAGAGCAGCUCAGUGCAUACAAAUUCAGGAAUCUACCUUUGAUGAUGAGAUGGCAUUUGCACAGAAAAGGACACAGCUGAAAUGGAGUUGCUUUUAAAUAACGCUUUAUUUGUGUGUGGCUUUUAUUUUAUUAUUAAUAUUAUUAUUUUAAGAAAGCAACGUGAACAGUGCCUUACAGCCAAAAAUUAGCUACUUCACUGCUGUGAAUUAAUAAACCCUAUUAAAUUUAUGCUAUUACAUUUAUGCUGUGUUUUAAAGAGCAUUAGAUUUCAGCUGUAUCUGACUUAAAAGCAAUAUACGAGAUACACAAACUCUUCCAAAGAAUUGUCUAUAUGCCAAAUCUCACCCUUGUAUUUGAUUUAUUGUUCAGUGCUUUCUGUCCUGUUACAGAAUCCAAAACUCAGCCAUAGUUCAAAGUAUUCAGCCAUUCUGGCAAACCUAAAUUUGGCUCUCCUCUUUCCUGCAAUAGAAGGCAUUUUACCCUCACUACCAGAAGGCACUGGCAUGGAAGUGACAACAAGAAGGAAAAACUGCAUAAUUCUUCUCCUUCUCCAAUGAAGUAUGGGAGUGCACUGUGUUGGUAGAGAUGCUCCAGAAUGCAUACAGUGGUUAGAUCAGAACUUUUCUCCUCUCCCUGAAGUCAGAAAACAUUACUUCGAUGUGGCACUUAGCAUCUUGAUACUCAAGUGCUGAGUCCUUGUAGAGCUACAUAAGAAUAUUCAAAGCUAUUAAAUAUUGUGUAAUUUGUUUUUGGCUGCUGAAACCUGCCUGUGGGGACAAAUCCCAAAAGCCACAGCUGCGGGUAGAGCACAGUAACAGCUUUAGGAUUAAUGAGGUAAAGAUUUGGUUUCCAAUAUUUAAUUGGACUUCCAAAUUUUUAUUUUUAUUUUUUUUUUCUGCAUUGCUUCAAUUUCAUAACUGUGUACUUUGGGACUUUAAAGUUUCCAGUGUACCUUGAACUGGGCUCUGCCUAACCAUGAUUAAACCCCGAGCCCACAUGGGAUCAAGAAUAUAUAAAUAAUAAUUAUAAUAAUAAGCAUAUCAUUGUUGUUAUUUCUUUAGGAGAAACCAUAUUUUCAGCAGAUAAAAGAAAAGUAAGAAAUGGAGUCAAAGAGUUACCUUUCCAUGGGUAUUGGAAUAUUCCACUGAGCGUUUUGGUUUGACAGUCAUAAAAAAUUAGGCAGUUUUGUCCAUUCCUGAGCAAGCUAAGUGAAAUGGGGGAUAGGUGGGGCUAAAGACACGCCUCUGAUCUCUGUGUUUCUGACAUGUUUUGGUCACUUCGCUGCAUCCCUGUGCUGGACCAUGAGCACCGUUCGCCAUCUCACUGCCAGCCCAGGGGAGGUCCCAGCUGGCGCAAGGCCCAGGUGUCCUGUAAGGGAGAAACCCAGUGGCAACAUGCAUGUUGAACGUGUGAUGGAGCUGGAGCACUGGGCUCGCUGUGAGCGGCGUGAGGCUGUGCGAGGGCUCAGGCAGUGCUGACAGCAGCUGUGGAAAGGAUUGCGGACAGACGUUUGGAAAGGAAAGGCCAUGUGCCAGAUGGCAACCAACCGGCAGAGCCCGGCGCUGGGGGGGCGGGGAGGAGAAGAAGAAGAAAAAAAAGCCCUAAGCAGGGAACUGGUCUUGUGGGGGCAAUGCAGAUUUCAUUGUGAGGUAUUAAAAAAAUAAUAAUAAUCCACACUGGCCGCUGUUUUUCCACAGGGCAACUUUUUAUCAGAGACCUGUAGCAAAAACAUUGCAAAAUCUCACCUCGCUUAUUUGUAAGUCAGAAAGCCAUGAAGGAAAUAAAAAGCUUUCUUCAAGGAGAGUUUGAUGGGUUGUUUAGCCUGCUCUGUCAUUUUUCUUGUCUCUCUUCAUAACCCCUAUGCAACCCAGAAACGGCCAGUAAAAAAGAGAGAACCUCUGCUUGUUUAAUUACUUCCUGAAAAUUUGAUAACUACUACUUCAGCCUCAUUGGAUAAUCUACUUUUAAAUUGCCUAGUCUUUCAAAGACAGCAUAAUUAUUUGAGCGCGCUUACUUCCCUAGCUAUACAUCAUGCCUAUCAAAAUUAAAUGUUUCCAACAUACCAUUGCGGCAUUUUAACAUUUCACUUCUGUAAUACAUUUAACAGUAUAUUGACCCCAUACUUCCUUUUUAACAAAUUUUCAUACCUCAGGCAGUGAAGCACUGCCAGAAGAUGGAUCUUUAGUCUCUGACUGGGGAAUUGAGUAAUUUAAGGAAUGAUAAAGAGACUCAUAAUACGCAAAAUGUGGCUGUAAUGUGAUGUUUAAGAAUUCCUUCCUUUAUUUCAGUUUGAAGAGACUAUUUCAUUAAUAGAACUAAUUUUUGAACAAAGUUAUUUAAGCAGGAGUCAUCUCAUGAGUUUGCAGUUUUGUUACGCGUUUACCCAGAAUGCGUGUUUUUUCAAAGGGAUUCUGUGAAGAUUUUAUUUCAAAAUGAGAAAAGCAUUUAUUAAAACUGAAGAAGAAAUGAUACAGUCUGUUCUGUUCAUUCAGCAGACCCACAUUUUAACAGGAAAAAUGGUGCGUUUCUGAAAUAUUAUUUUUCUAUGUUCCAUAGGAUUAUUCCUACUUUAAUAUCAUCACCAGGAAAAAGAAAAAAAAGAAUCCUAAAGAACAGGUAUUGGUAAAUCAAUAAACUAUGCAUUGAGUGCGUGUUCAGAAUGCAACCACUGCAACAGAAGUGUGUGUUUUUCAAGGCUGAAAGGCUCCCCCCUGUACUUGGAUUUAUUGAAUAAAGAAAUGGGAGGCUAGAAGUGGCUCCAAAUACAGACUUUAGAGCACUUCUGAGCAUUCCUCUCUCAGGAUAUGCUGAAUUUGAGGUUUGGUGGUAUUUAGUUGACCUUUUUUAUUUUUAUUUUUUACUUAUUUUUUUUAACUUGUACUGAGUAACAUCAGUAAGCCACACUUUCAAAAGAGAGAAAGGUUUUAUUUGCAGAAAUGCAUGCAGAAUGUAGAGGCAGAUCCUGUUGGUGUAUGUACUGCACGUGUGAGUGUGCAUGCAAGCCAGAAGACUGUCUACAGCACAUGUGCAGGUCAAUCCAGCAUGAGCAAAACCAAAAGCAAACGAGGUAAAGAAACAGCACGUAAAGAAGGGGGAAAAAAAAGAACCCCCCCUUGGUUCUAAAUCAUCAUAAAGACUGCAAUAUCCUGUUAUCUAUUGUAGUAACAUCAUAUACAAAAUAAAGAAACAAAUGUUGCCCUUCUGUGAAGGGCAGAUAAUAAAAGAUUGAUUCAUUAAAAAGAAAAAAACAGAGGAGAUCAGAAAUAUGCUGUUUUAAGAGUUAUGCUAAAGAAAAACACAGACAGACUUAAAUUCUAAGCAGCUUGAAUUUCUUCAUUGUGGCUGUUACUGAUGUCUCACGGAGUGAACAGCAUAGAUGUGAGAUGAAGAACAAGCAAAAGAGAUUGGAUGUCUGGUACCCACAAACCUGUUCCUAAAACCUAUUGAGCUAGUGAAGAAGAAUUUUGUAUGCUGAUCUUCAUUUAUUUUUUCCUACCACAAACCUUAAAAAGACAGAAGUAAGAGCACCAAUGUAAUAAAUGCCUGGGGAGCUGACAACAAAUGCAUUUCACCCUAAAGAUUACUCACCAUGGAUUGGCACACGUUUAAAAUACUCAUCCAGAGUGCCUCUUUGAUUCUGUUAUUGUGGUUAGCUAACAGCAGUUAGGUAGAUGUUAGGAAGGUACGUGUGUCAAACUGUAACAUCAAAUGACAAGAAAAUAACUACACUAGUGCAGGCAUGACAUUUUUAAAUUCCAUAUCAAGGAAUUAAAAUGUUACCUACCUUUUUCUAAAAUUUGGGUCCAAAAUGUCAUUGAUUACUAAAAUGAUUUUUAUCCUCCUUCAUACCCAAAACACACUUCAGAGUUUGGGAAAUAUUCAAAAUGGCAAAUCUUGCUUGAACUUAGAAAGCUUUUGCAGGAGUAACAGAUGAAAUAAUAAAUAAUAUUCAUAAAUAAAUCUUCAGCUCUUACCCACAACAAGAUCGACGCAACAUGGUAUAGCAAAGUGAAAACUGAUACAGGAGUAUAUUUAGAGAAAAUCCAUAGAACUCACAGGAAUGAGCUUCAGCCGAGGAAUGUUUGCCAGAUCUGGAAGGACUCUCAGCAAUCAACAGUGCAUAUGCUUAGAAAGUGUACAUGUUAUGGCUGCUGAACAAAAGAAUUAAAUGCCAGCAGUUGGACUCUCGGGAUCUCAUGUAGUCCCCUACAGAAGUCUGGCCAGCUAGUGGCAAGUAUUCUGCACUACCCAAACUUGCAGUACCCACCUAGCUGUCCAAGUAAGACAUUUGCUUAGGCAGAAAGUGUGCUAAGGGAAGGGAAUAACCUUCCAUAUCCUGACAUCUGCAUCCAUGCUUUCAGCGUACUUGGUCUGCUAGCAUGCAUAGCUAGUGCCAUUAUAGCAUAAUGCCAGUUUUACUUGUACUGAGUAUUAAAUGGCACACACAGCUUCAUUCCACAUCUGAGCUUUUUGUUUUCUCAGUGGCUUAGACAGAGUGCGUGUGUAGAUUAACCAAAGUUAUUAAGAAAGAAGGAACAGGUCAUCGUUUAUUUGUAGUUCGUUCGGUUUGAUUAAUCAUCGGUGGAUUUGGAAAAUUUCUGUAAUGAACUAAACAAAAAUGCUUCUGUUCAGAAGAGCACUCCCCAACCGUUCUCACUAAGUAUCCCAUGCUUGCUUAAUAUUUAAGGUCAGAAUAGUCACAGUAGAAUUAAAUCACAGUUCUGAACUGAGCUAUGCUCACAGUGAUUUAUCAAAGCGGAUUAGAUCUUAAAAAUCAAUCACUCUAAAUGAAAGAAUUCCAGGUGACGCCCCACAUGGAAUUAAUAUCUAAUUAAGGAUAACAGUCUCAAAGGGGGGAAAAACAUUCUUCUGUAACUCAUGCACGUGUAUCUCUUUCUAACUUUUCUUAAAUUACAUAGAAACUGUCGCAGUAGCUGCCAUAAAAACUCUACACUUUUGUUUCAGCCUGUUAUCAAAUUCAUGUUACCCUGUAUGCCCACAUAAAAUAAUAACUAACCACUCCUAAAAAUCUUAUCUAAUAAAAAAGACUUGUACAUAAAUCAGUUUCUGAAUAGAAGUUUGACCUCGACUUUUUAUAAGAGCAUUUUAAAUCUCACCGAAGGGAAAGGUUCUAAAAAAUACCUUAAGGAGAACUUAUUUUGAUAGCAGUUCAUAGUAAUCAUCAUAAUAAUAAAACCUACAUUUCCUCUCUUUCUCCUGGUUUUGUAUGCUCUGGGGCUGUUCUUGAACUGUUUGAAUUUUAUUUCAUACUCCCCACAUUCCUCUAAUGGGGUUUUGCAGAGCUGCUCUGUGACAGCCAUCAUACAAAUAGUUUUCUGGGUUUGAAAUUUGUCUGGGUUACGUGCACACUCCUUGGGGCAAGGCUCAGGGGAAAUCCCCACUGUGGUGAGACCUGUUUCCCAAUUGAUUAUGAUGGAGCUGGCAUUUUGUAAAGAAAAUACAUCUGUGAGAGCCAUGAUGUUCCUGUACAGGUAGAGUGCUAUGAAAAUAGAAACAAGUCAGCUACUGUAGUUAAACAAGUACUUCCUUAUUCUUAGAAAAAUAAAGGAAAAUAUGUUUUAAGUAAAAAUAAUAAGCUCUUUUUAAUAAUGGAUGAUUUUGUAACAAUCUGCUACAAUCUGCUGUUAAAAAAAGUCGUCUGGGCCAAAGAUUCCUUUCCUCCUCAAAGGAUUUCUUUUUACUUAUUUAUUUCUUUGACUUUGAAAAAGGGUAAGAAUUAUUUCUUUAAACAACUGGCUGCAGAUUAAAAUUAACACUGUACGUUUCAAUUAUUAUCAAUUCAUCAAUGAAUCAAGAGAGCUGGUAUCUUAUUUUAAUUAAAAUAGUUCCAUCAGAUAACCUAAGCCUCUAAAGCCAUAUAUUUGAUUUUAAUUAAAAAAAAUUCUGGUUGUGAUCAUUGUUCAGAAUUAAUAUACCAAAUAAAAUAUGGGAAGAAAAGAGGUAAGGGGAGGUUAUAUAGUGUUACCUGAUAAAAGGAGACAGUAAUAUUUAAAAUGAGGUAAGUGUUACACCGAUUUAUGAUGUAUUUUAUCUUCUGGAGAAACCCUAGUUUAUCGUACUGUCGUUUAGUUUGAAACGUCAGCUGUAUAUCUUUCUGCUUUCGAAUGUUACUCUAGGUUGAAAGGAAAAGGUUUGCAGUGAUGUGAUGUAUAAGCAGAUCAAAAGCUUGGCAUUUUUUUCCUGGGAUAAUUCACUUUUAUAUUGAAAUAUUUUUGUUGUCAUAUAUAUAUAAAUAUUAUAAAUAUCUUAUAAAUAUUUUGAAAGAAUAUUAAUUAAUAACACUUAACAAUUCUCUCAUCUUUAUAGCCCCAUACAAACAUCUACUAAUCAGAAAGGAUGAAGAUGUUCCUUUUGUUUCAGUUCCCACUCAAAUUAUCAUGUAAACAUCCUAAACCCUAACCCACUAGCACUAAAAUUUCUAUUUUUUCUUUCUUUUGAAAACAAAACAGAAUAUCUUCAUUCACAGUCUGCUUUUCUUUGUAUCUGUAACAUAUUUGCAUCAAGAGUUUUGCCAGUAUAGAAGGGAUUUAAUUUGUAAGAAAGCAGAAGAGCUCGAGUGGUGGACUUACAAAUAAAUAUAAAUUUAAUGCCCAGAUAGUGCCAUACUGCUAAUGGAUUUAUUCUCAACAUAUACUCUCAUCAGUUGUAAAUUAGACUCCACCUCCAUUGUGUAUGUUUAAAAGUUUUCUAAGUUCUCAAAAAAACAAAAGUAUGAGUUCCCCUGGCCCCAAUACCAAAACAUCAGGGCAAACUAAGUCAGCCUCUAAAUCAAUCACCUAAUCUUAUCAUUUAAAAGUGAUGUAUCAGCCAAGAGCCAAACUAACCCCUACGUCACCACUUGCCAAAGGAGCAGGGCGAGCUGAGGUGGUGCUUUGCUUUGGCUGCAUGGUGCCAAGGAUGGUACCAAGUGUUGUUGGGCUUUUUCCUAAAAUUACAAGACAUAGAAGAUGCAAGAUCUCGUGUGACUGAAAAGAGAAGAAAUGCUGUUCAUCUGCAGGUCAACAGGAUUCCAUUUCUCUCAAGGUAGCAGCUCCUCCCUCUUCCUGAUUUCCAAAUACAGGAGAAAAAAUGACCUGUCACUUCUCAGUGAUGGCUGUCUAACAGUGCUGGGCUCCUAGCCCUUAGGAUUGCACCAGUGAACCAUUUACCAUUCAAAAUCACAUCAUAGCCAUGGAUGGCUGAGCCCAAAUGCUUGAAGACAUUUAUCCAUCCAAUUUCAGCAUGCACAUGUAUAUCCAAUGCAGAAUAUUUUUCUAAUUUUCUUUGCUUAGAUAUAGUGAUAUAUACACACUUCAAAGAAAUUAGCUGAAGGAAAAAAUGUUAGUCUUCAUUUGUACUCACAGUGGGUUGUUUUGCUCUGCAUGAACUAAUGCCGGCUGCCCCAAGCACCACUGUUUAUUUCCAUUUACAGCAAUUUGAAGGAUAAUGUAUAGUUGUAGUAUAAGGAUUAUAGUUGCUUGCCGCUGCUGUCAGCACACAUUAUUAAAGAAGUUCAAGCCCUCAAGUCCCAUGACCUUCCACUUUUUAUCUUUAAAAAAGCAACUCUUGGUCAAGGUUAUCGUAGAUUUAUUCACAUUGUUUUUCAUUUCUGUAUCUCUUCACUUGUUCCCAGGGUAAAUGGGAUAAUAAUUAUUGUAAUCUACAAAGCUUCAGCAUAUUUGCCUCAUGAGAGUUCAGUGUCUAGGCUUUAGUGUUAACAUCUUGGAUGUAAGUACCAGAAAAGAAAUUACAACUAAACCAGGAUUAUUUUUCGCUAUUAUUAUUAUUGUUGUAGAGUCACUUUUUUGUGUUUACAUGAUUUUUUCUUUUUUUCCUAAAGCCUAACUUUUUCCAAUUAAGGAAAAGAAGCAUAAAUCUUCCAGGGACCUCAGCUCACCAUUUAAUCUCAUUAUGGCUGAUAAGGAAUUAAUGACUGUUGUGCACAUAUAUGUAUCCUGGGGAUUGAAAUGAGCACGGUUCAGACAUUUAUGACAGCAGGAUCUCAUUUAUGCAUAUGUGAUCACUUACAUUCUCUUAACAUCAGCACAGUGGAUCCACUGAGCUCUUCCACAUCAGAUGAAUGACAAAGAAGAGUCUGCUAUUGAUGGGCUGCUUUAGGUUUGGCCCACCGAAGAAAGCAGCUCUUGAAGACAUUUUCAGACCUUGUCUUGGCCAGACGCCUACACACAUUGGGACUUUGGAAUAAAUUUAGAAGUGCCACUUUGAGGCUUUAAUUUUGUCUGCUAGUCUUGAAUGGCUUGCAGAUAAUAAUCUGCAUCACUUAUGCACAUGCACAAACGGAUGUAUAUGCGUGGAUGUACACAAGGAUGUAGACCACAAAGUCUUAGUUAGGAAAUGAAGUGUAUGCUUUUCUGACUCCCUUCCAUGAUUCUGAAAAGAAAAAAAGAAAUGCUUUCAAGUUCUCUCAGAAUAAGACAGAUUCUUGAAAGACCCAAAACAGAGCCAUAACCCAGUUCGUGACUAAACUGACAAUGAAACAAAAGCAUGAAGGUAUGUCUUGACUCUUUCUUUAGUGGUUUCCUAUUAGAGAGGCAUCUGUUUGUCUGCUAUUUGCUACGCUUCCAUCAAGCUGGGAAAUACAUGGACUUGCAACGUACAAUAUUCACACAAUGCUGGCAACAAGUGACACUUUAUUAAAAAAAUUAAGAAAGCAAAACAAUUAUAAAAUAAGUAUUUGUAUGGGAGCCCAAUUAGCAUAUCUUUCCCUUUUUAUUCCUCUCUCAGAGAAAAACUUUCUGUUUUCCUGAAACUACAUGAUAAAGAAAGAGAACAAAUUCAGAAUCAGGGUCUCACUUUUCUGUGUGUCAGUGCUGUACAAGCUCUGACUUUACAGUUUUGUACAUCAGCAGAGGUAUACGGAAGGGAAGUCUGCAGACAAACCCCAUUUUGCCAAUAGCAGUAGAGUGCAAGACAAACAUUCAGGCCGAAUUGAUCCUUCCUAAUUGGUCAGGGUCUACAUAUUAAGAGGCACAAAACAUGCAGAGAACAGUCAAAAGACAAUUUAGUUACUAGGGGCCAGAAGAAUUUGCCCCAUGCUAUUUGGAAAUAAGAGUUUUGUUCUAACUAUUACAUUUUGCCAUUGCUUCUUGCACUGGUGUUUAGUAUUGAUUUAUUCAUACCCCCUACAAACCAAGCAAAAUACAACCCUCCAGAUAUUUAGCCUUGUGGUAGCUGUUGGCAGCCCCAAUGGUUUAGCACCUGUGUUUUACAAAUGGUGAAUCUAGGGCACAGAAGGACACUCAUUUACCACAAAUAGAGACCUAAAAAUAAAACUGCUUCUCAAGACUCCAAAAACCAGCUGCCAAGACUGUAGGGACAUAUCUAUAUUUUUCCAGAGACAUACUGUGUCCUCAAAAUUUCAGAGCAGAAAAAAAACCUUUCCUUAUUCAAAUCCAUUUUGAUUCAAAGGAAAAGAAACUUCGCCUUUGCUUGACAUACUGCCUCCAGGGCAACAUUCAAAAUGACCUCAUGUAAGAGUUUACAUUCAUAAUCCAUCACUGCAGAGAAAAAUCAAAACAACAGAAUCUUUCCCACUCCAAACUGACGUGUUGUUGUUCUUCCACGGCGAGUCCUUAGGAAAGACUCAGGGAUGUGAACCGACUCGCACCACAAAAAACACAAACAACUCGUCCCUGAAGGUGGGCACUUGCAAAUUAGUUGCAAGAAUGAAGUGGCUUAACAGCAAUUCAAACAUAAUUUGUUCAAAGCUCAAAGGCCUUUUUCAUGUCUGGUAACGAGGUCACAAAACCUGCCGAAAUAUCUCAAGGAUCACGUAUAGAAGAGAUUAAAUACUGCAUAAACAAAACACAGACGUUACGCGCUUUAACAAAUACUAGUUACAUUCUUUCAGUGAAAACUGUCUUUAAUACAGAUUUCUUUUCCCUUCCAAUUUCGUUCUGCAGCUAUUGGUAUAAUAUUCUAUGAUCUUGCAAAAAUGAUUUUAUUACUUACCAGAACAGGAGAAAUCUCACCCCCUCUUAAAUUGAAGCUGAUAAGGGAAAACCUCCCUAAUCCUAUUUGUCAGUCAAAAACAAAACAGAAUAAAACAAAACAAAACAUUCUUGCUCACCUCACAGAGUGGCUGAAUAAAUAAAUAUGACACAGCAGGUUUAGCGAUAAGAAGUCAACAAAUUGAGAAAGACCUUGAAUUCUGAACUAUUCUCAUUAUCAC
Molecule: long non-coding RNA, 16839 nt
Organism: Gallus gallus (chicken)
Lineage: Eukaryota; Metazoa; Chordata; Aves; Galliformes; Phasianidae
Source: Ensembl